GGGUUGUGAGGUUAAGCGACUAAGCGUACACGGUGGAUGCCCUGGCAGUCAGAGGCGAUGAAGGACGUGCUAAUCUGCGAUAAGCGUCGGUAAGGUGAUAUGAACCGUUAUAACCGGCGAUUUCCGAAUGGGGAAACCCAGUGUGUUUCGACACACUAUCAUUAACUGAAUCCAUAGGUUAAUGAGGCGAACCGGGGGAACUGAAACAUCUAAGUACCCCGAGGAAAAGAAAUCAACCGAGAUUCCCCCAGUAGCGGCGAGCGAACGGGGAGCAGCCCAGAGCCUGAAUCAGUGUGUGUGUUAGUGGAAGCGUCUGGAAAGGCGCGCGAUACAGGGUGACAGCCCCGUACACAAAAAUGCACAUGCUGUGAGCUCGAUGAGUAGGGCGGGACACGUGGUAUCCUGUCUGAAUAUGGGGGGACCAUCCUCCAAGGCUAAAUACUCCUGACUGACCGAUAGUGAACCAGUACCGUGAGGGAAAGGCGAAAAGAACCCCGGCGAGGGGAGUGAAAAAGAACCUGAAACCGUGUACGUACAAGCAGUGGGAGCACGCUUCGGCGUGUGACUGCGUACCUUUUGUAUAAUGGGUCAGCGACUUAUAUUCUGUAGCAAGGUUAACCGAAUAGGGGAGCCGAAGGGAAACCGAGUCUUAACUGGGCGUUAAGUUGCAGGGUAUAGACCCGAAACCCGGUGAUCUAGCCAUGGGCAGGUUGAAGGUUGGGUAACACUAACUGGAGGACCGAACCGACUAAUGUUGAAAAAUUAGCGGAUGACUUGUGGCUGGGGGUGAAAGGCCAAUCAAACCGGGAGAUAGCUGGUUCUCCCCGAAAGCUAUUUAGGUAGCGCCUCGUGAAUUCAUCUCCGGGGGUAGAGCACUGUUUCGGCAAGGGGGUCAUCCCGACUUACCAACCCGAUGCAAACUGCGAAUACCGGAGAAUGUUAUCACGGGAGACACACGGCGGGUGCUAACGUCCGUCGUGAAGAGGGAAACAACCCAGACCGCCAGCUAAGGUCCCAAAGUCAUGGUUAAGUGGGAAACGAUGUGGGAAGGCCCAGACAGCCAGGAUGUUGGCUUAGAAGCAGCCAUCAUUUAAAGAAAGCGUAAUAGCUCACUGGUCGAGUCGGCCUGCGCGGAAGAUGUAACGGGGCUAAACCAUGCACCGAAGCUGCGGCAGCGACGCUUAUGCGUUGUUGGGUAGGGGAGCGUUCUGUAAGCCUGUGAAGGUGUGCUGUGAGGCAUGCUGGAGGUAUCAGAAGUGCGAAUGCUGACAUAAGUAACGAUAAAGCGGGUGAAAAGCCCGCUCGCCGGAAGACCAAGGGUUCCUGUCCAACGUUAAUCGGGGCAGGGUGAGUCGACCCCUAAGGCGAGGCCGAAAGGCGUAGUCGAUGGGAAACAGGUUAAUAUUCCUGUACUUGGUGUUACUGCGAAGGGGGGACGGAGAAGGCUAUGUUGGCCGGGCGACGGUUGUCCCGGUUUAAGCGUGUAGGCUGGUUUUCCAGGCAAAUCCGGAAAAUCAAGGCUGAGGCGUGAUGACGAGGCACUACGGUGCUGAAGCAACAAAUGCCCUGCUUCCAGGAAAAGCCUCUAAGCAUCAGGUAACAUCAAAUCGUACCCCAAACCGACACAGGUGGUCAGGUAGAGAAUACCAAGGCGCUUGAGAGAACUCGGGUGAAGGAACUAGGCAAAAUGGUGCCGUAACUUCGGGAGAAGGCACGCUGAUAUGUAGGUGAAGCGACUUGCUCGUGGAGCUGAAAUCAGUCGAAGAUACCAGCUGGCUGCAACUGUUUAUUAAAAACACAGCACUGUGCAAACACGAAAGUGGACGUAUACGGUGUGACGCCUGCCCGGUGCCGGAAGGUUAAUUGAUGGGGUCAGCGCAAGCGAAGCUCUUGAUCGAAGCCCCGGUAAACGGCGGCCGUAACUAUAACGGUCCUAAGGUAGCGAAAUUCCUUGUCGGGUAAGUUCCGACCUGCACGAAUGGCGUAAUGAUGGCCAGGCUGUCUCCACCCGAGACUCAGUGAAAUUGAACUCGCUGUGAAGAUGCAGUGUACCCGCGGCAAGACGGAAAGACCCCGUGAACCUUUACUAUAGCUUGACACUGAACAUUGAGCCUUGAUGUGUAGGAUAGGUGGGAGGCUUUGAAGUGUGGACGCCAGUCUGCAUGGAGCCGACCUUGAAAUACCACCCUUUAAUGUUUGAUGUUCUAACGUUGACCCGUAAUCCGGGUUGCGGACAGUGUCUGGUGGGUAGUUUGACUGGGGCGGUCUCCUCCUAAAGAGUAACGGAGGAGCACGAAGGUUGGCUAAUCCUGGUCGGACAUCAGGAGGUUAGUGCAAUGGCAUAAGCCAGCUUGACUGCGAGCGUGACGGCGCGAGCAGGUGCGAAAGCAGGUCAUAGUGAUCCGGUGGUUCUGAAUGGAAGGGCCAUCGCUCAACGGAUAAAAGGUACUCCGGGGAUAACAGGCUGAUACCGCCCAAGAGUUCAUAUCGACGGCGGUGUUUGGCACCUCGAUGUCGGCUCAUCACAUCCUGGGGCUGAAGUAGGUCCCAAGGGUAUGGCUGUUCGCCAUUUAAAGUGGUACGCGAGCUGGGUUUAGAACGUCGUGAGACAGUUCGGUCCCUAUCUGCCGUGGGCGCUGGAGAACUGAGGGGGGCUGCUCCUAGUACGAGAGGACCGGAGUGGACGCAUCACUGGUGUUCGGGUUGUCAUGCCAAUGGCACUGCCCGGUAGCUAAAUGCGGAAGAGAUAAGUGCUGAAAGCAUCUAAGCACGAAACUUGCCCCGAGAUGAGUUCUCCCUGACUCCUUGAGAGUCUUGAAGGAACGUUGAAGACGACGACGUUGAUAGGCCGGGUGUGUAAGCGCAGCGAUGCGUUGAGCUAACCGGUACUAAUGAACCGUGAGGCUUAACCUUACAACGCCGAAG
RNAcentral lists this ribosomal RNA (2925 nucleotides) under Escherichia coli. RNAcentral describes it as "23S ribosomal RNA". It matches the Rfam family "Bacterial large subunit ribosomal RNA". Lineage: Bacteria; Pseudomonadati; Pseudomonadota; Gammaproteobacteria; Enterobacterales; Enterobacteriaceae. The record is from RNAcentral.